Molecule: ribosomal RNA, 263 nt
Filed under: uncultured bacterium
Lineage: Bacteria
Description: partial 16S ribosomal RNA
Rfam family: Bacterial small subunit ribosomal RNA
Source: RNAcentral
GCAAGUCGAACGUGAAAGCAGACUUCUGUCUGUAAGUAAAGUGGCGCACCGGUUAGUAACACGUGGAUAAUCUACCCACAAUCAGGGAUAACAUUUCGAAAGGGAUACUAAUACCUGAUACGCCCACGACCUCUUCGGAGGCUGUGGGAAAAGGUGGGGACCUUCGGGCCUACCGUUGUCGGAUGAGUCCGCGUCCCAUUAGCUAGUUGGUAGGGUAAUGGCCUACCAAGGCUACGAUGGGUAGCUGGUCUGAGAGGAUGAUC